Molecule: long non-coding RNA, 25435 nt
Filed under: Triticum aestivum (bread wheat)
Lineage: Eukaryota; Viridiplantae; Streptophyta; Magnoliopsida; Poales; Poaceae
Description: long non-coding RNA (TAES_LNC019637)
Source: RNAcentral
UUUUUUUUCGUAGUUUCAUUUUCUCUUUCUUGAGUCAUAGGAAACACCGUACUGUUAAAGGGGGUCGAGGAAAUACUAAGGAAAAAUUUCCAUGUGAUGCUCAACUCAAAUCCUACACCUACCAAUCCCUUCGAGUGAAGCCAUUGGAAAUCUCAUACAGUUCAGUCAUAUUCUUCAGUGACAGAGACGAAGUUCUUCUGGUCUCUGAGGAAUUUGUUCUGACUGAGGAGUUAGGAAUUCGCCAGUGCGGAUUGCCUACACAGUGAGGAACAUGAUAGCCCUGAGGAAUUUGAACCUCAAAUUUCCGACCGUUGCUGUGUUAUGCCCCAGCUGUCCCAAAAUAUCUACCCAUCUAACGGUCAUAUCAUUGAAGGGCAUUUAUGUCUUAUCAUACGGGCUGGUUGGCUAUAAAUAGGCUAUAAAUAGCCACCCCCUACAACCACUAGCUGGUUGGCUGCUCCGAGAGAAACUGACAUUUGUCAUUUGAGAGCGUCCCAUCCUCUGAGGACUUUGAGCGAAAAUCAUCAAGUGAGGAAAAACCCCAAACCCAAACACCUACAAACCCAAAGUGAUUGAGCAUCACUGAAGAGAUUGAUCCUGCGUGGAUCCGACGCUUGUUAUCUUUGAAGACUGUGCUUCUUCCAGACGGUUAGGCGUCAUGGUCUGGAGCAUCCAAGAGGAAAUUGUGGAUCGCCGAGUGACCGAGUUUGUGAAGGUUCGGAAGUCACCUGAAAACUUACCAUGAGUGAUUGGACGAGGUCUGUGUGACCUUAGUUCAAGGAGAAUACGGUGAGGACUGUGUGUCCGGGACUGGGUGUCCUCAGGUUUAAAUACCUAGCCGCUCCAACCAGAUGUACAACUGAGACAGCAGUUGGCACUGGUCUACCAAAUCAUUGUCUUCACCAAGCCAACUGGUUCUAUUUCCUCAACUCUUUCAUUUCCUCAUUCCUGUAUUGUGCAAUUGUUCAUAUCUGUGUUUGAAGACUUUGACUGAAGACUUUCUCAAUUUCCUCAGUCUGUUUGUCUUCAUCCUGUGUUAUCAUGUGUUUACGCUUUCUGUACUCUGUGCUUGUUUUCAUUUCAUCAUGAUGACUAUGCUUGUGCUCUGCUAUGCAUACUUUUGAGUACUUAUUCCGCUGCAAGUAGUUCUUCGCUAAGGAAUUUCCUCACCCACAAAUUCCUCAGUGAAGAAUUUAUAAAAAUCGCCUAUUCACCCCCUCUAGUCGAUAUAACGCACUUUCAAUUGGUAUCAGAGCAAGGUACUUCCUUGUUCUGUGUGAUUUUGGUUUAACCACCCGGAGUUUUAGUUAUGUCGAUCACAGGUAUGAAGAAAGUGACAUGUCCCAUCUUUGACGGUCAUGAUUAUCCCAAGUGGAAGGCCAUGAUGAAGAAGCGCCUCAUGGCGAUGAAUAGCGAGCUGUGGACCGUCACCGAGAUUGGUCUUACCGAUCUGUGCAAGACGGCGGAAGCUGAUGACAUUCGCAAGUACCCUAUUCUCAACCUCACGGCGAAGGGCGUCAUCUGCUCCUGUCUGUCUCAAAAUCAGUUCAAGAACGUUAUGCAUCUCGAUCAGGCGAAGCUUAUCUGGGACCAUCUCUCUUAUGUCUAUGAAGGUCAUCGAACCCAUCAUGAUCCUUGGUUUGAGGACUUCAAGGAAUCUCUCAAAUCAAUGACAUUCGAACCAGAAUCAUCAUCCUCCUCACCAUGCCUUAUGGCAGAUGGUGAAAAGGUAACUGAAUGCUAUCUGUCUGAAUCUAGUGAUGAUGAAUCUGAUGAUGAAUUAGGACCCAGUUAUGUCAAGCUUGUUUCCCUUGCUGCUAAACAACAAAGAGCUUUGGAAAAGGUUCAAAACAUGCUUAGUAAGAGCGAUGAUAUGUUGGGUGAAGAAAUAGAUCAGUCAAAAGCUUUGGCUGAAAGUCUUCAGAGACUUCAUACUAAGUAUGACACCCUUCAAGAUCAACAUAACACUCUCUUAUCCGAUCAUGAGAAGCUUUCUUAUGAAUUUCUUCAAAGAAAGCAAGAUCUAGAGAAGCUAAAAGUGAGUUAUGAAGAUCUUCAGAAGGAGCGCGAUUCAUUACUUGCUCAACAAAUCAGCGCUGCUCAGGAAGAAUUUGUUCCUCCAUGUUUGAAAUGCAUUGAACGUGAAUCUGCUAAUUCUUCACCUGAAUGUUCAAAUGCUUGUAAUGCUACAAAUUCUUCAAUUGUCUCUGCUAUCACUAAUUCCUUAUCUGAGGACAUUGAUAGUAUCACUGAUGAUGCAGGGCUGAAGGAAUUGUAUAUGACAAGCAUGUACAAAAGCCUCAAAGGGCAUCAGACUCUUUGUGAUGUGCUUAAAAACCAGAUCCUCAGCAGGAACCCUAGGAAAGAGGGUAUUGCCUUUGAGAGGAAACUCAAUGCUGAUGGUGCAUAUUGGAAGCCUGAGCAGUACCCCAAAACCUCAUGGGUUGCUGCAAAGGGACCUCCAGUUGAUCCAUCUAAUUUAUCUGGCUUUACAUGUGAAUCUUCUCAUUCUUCUGAUGAGUCAGUUGACUCCAACUAUAAACUGUUCAAAAAUCAGAAUGGUGAAGUAUUUGCUAGAUAUGUUGGCACUAACUGCAGGAACGGUUCCCCUGUUGGAAAUAUGCCCUAGAGGCAAUAAUAAAAGGUUAUUAUUAUAUUUCUUUGUUCAUGAUAAUCGUCUAUUAUUCAUGCUAUAAUUGUAUUGUCCGGAAAUCGUAAUACAUGUGUGAAUACAUAGACCACAACGUGUCCCUAGUAAGCCUCUAGUUGACUAGCUCGUUGAUCAACAGAUAGUCAUGGUUUCCUGACUAUGGACAUUGGAUGUCAUUGAUAACGGGAUCACAUCAUUAGGAGAAUGAUGUGAUGGACAAGACCCAAUCCUAAGCAUAGCAUAAAAGAUCGUGUAGUUUCGUUUGCUAGAGCUUUUCCAAUGUCAAGUAUCUUUUCCUUAGACCAUGAGAUCGUGCAACUCCCGGAUACCGUAGGAGUGCUUUGGGUGUGCCAAACGUCACAACGUAACUGGGUGACUAUAAAGGUGCGUUACGGGUAUCUCCGAAAGUGUCUGUUGGGUUGGCACGGAUCGAGACUGGGAUUUGUCACUCCGUGUGACGGAGAGGUAUCUCUGGGCCCACUCGGUAAUGCAUCAUCAUAAUGAGCUCAAUGUGACUAAGGCGUUAGUCACGGGAUCAUGCAUUGCGGUACGAGUAAAGAGACUUGCCGGCAACGAGAUUGAACAAGGUAUUGGGAUACCGACGAUCGAAUCUCGGGCAAGUAACAUACCGAUUGACAAAGGGAAUUGCAUACGGAUUGAUUGAAUCCUCGACACCGUGGUUCAACCGAUGAGAUCAUCGUGGAACAUGUGGGAGCCAACAUGGGUAUCCAGAUCCCGCUGUUGGUUAUUGUCCGGAGAGGCGUCUCGGUCAUGUCUGCAUGUCUCCCGAACCCGUAGGGUCUACACACUUAAGGUCCGGUGACGCUAGGGUUGUAGAGAUAUAUGUAUGCGGAAACCCGAAAGUUGUUCGGAGUCCCGGAUGAGAUCCCGGAUGUCACGAGAGGUUCCGGAAUGGUCCGGAGGUGAAGAAUUAUAUAUAGGAAGUCAAGUUUCGGCCACCGGGAAAGUUUCGGGGGUUACCGGUAUUGUACCGGGACCACCGGAAGGGUCCCGGGGGUCCACCGGGUGGGGCCACCUAUCCCGGAGGGCCCCGUGGGCUGAAAGUGGAAGGUAACCAGCCCUUAGUGGGCUGGGGCGCCCCCCUUGGGCCUCCCCCCAUGCGCCUAGGGUUGGGAACCCUAGGGGGGAGCUUCCCCCUUGCCUUGGGGGGCAAGGCAACCCCUUCCCCCCUUGGCCGCCGCGCCCCCUUGGAGAUCCCAUCUCCCAGGGCUGGCGCACCCCCCAGGGGCCUAUAUAAAGGGGGGGAGGGAGGGCAGCAACCUACAGCCUUGGGCGCCUCCCUCCUCCCCUGCAACACCUCUCUCUCUCUCUCUCGCAGAAGCUCGGCGAAGCCCUGCCGGAGAGCCGCUACAUCCACCACCACGCCGUCGUGCUGUUGGAUCUCCAUCAACCUCUCCUUCCCCCUUGCUGGAUCAAGAAGGAGGAGACGUCGAUGCACCGUACGUGUGUUGAACGCGGAGGUGCCGUCCGUUCGGCACUCGGUCAUCGGUGAUUUGGAUCAUGGCGAGUACGACUCCGUCAUCCACGUUGAUUGGAACGCUUCCGCUCGCGAUCUACAAGGGUAUGUAGAUGCACUCCUUUCCCCUCGUUGCUAGUAGACUCCAUAGAUGCAUCUUGGUGAGCGUAGGAAAAUUUAAAAAUUAUGCUACGAUUCCCAACAGUGGCAUCAUGAGCCAGGCCUAUGCGUAGUUACUAUGCACGAGUAGAACACAAAGCAGUUGUGGGCGUUGAGUUUGCCAAUUCUACUUGCCGCUACUAGUCUUUUCUUGUUUCGGCGGCAUUGUAGGAUGAAGCGGCCCGGACCGACCUUACACGUACACUUACGUGAGACAGGUUCCACCGACUGACAUGCACUAGAUGCAUAAGGUGGCUAGCGGGUGUCUGUCUCUCCAACUUUAGUCGAAACGGAUUCGAUGAAAAGGGUCCUUAUGAAGGGUAAAUAGAAAUUGGCAAAUCACGUUGUGGUCAUACGUAGGUAAGAAACAUUCUUGCUAGAAACCUACAAACCACGUAAAAAAAACUUGCAACAACAAUUAGAGGACGUCUAACUUGUUUUUGCAGCAAGUGCUAUGUGAUGUGAUAUGGCCAGAAGAUGUGAUGAAUGAUAUAUGUGAUGUAUGAGAUGAUCAUAUUCUUGUAAUAGGAAUCACGACUUGCAUGUCGAUGAGUAUGACAACCGGCAGGAGCCAUAGGAGUUGUCUUUAUUAUUUUGCAUGACCUGCGUGUCAUUGAAUAACGCCAUGUAAAUUACUUUACUUUGUUGCUAAACGGGUUAGCCAUAGAAGUAGAAGUAAUCGUUGGCGUGACGACUUCAUGAAGACACAAUGAUGGAGAUCAUGAUGAUGGAGAUCAUGGUGUCAUGCCGGUGACAAAGAUGAUCAUGGUGCCCCGAAGAUGGAGAUCAAAGGAGCAUGAUGAUAUUGGCCAUAUCAUGUCACUAUUUGAUUGCAUGUGAUGUUUAUCAUGUUUUUGCAUCUUAUUUGCUUAGAACGACGGUAGCAAGUAGGAUGAUCCCUUAUAAUAAUUUCAAGAAAGUGUUCACCCUAACUGUGCACCGUUGCGAAGGUUCGUUGUUUCGAAGCACCACGUGAUGAUCGGGUGUGAUAGAUUCUAACGUUCGAAUACAACGGGUGUUGACGAGCCUAGCAUGUACAGACAUGGCCUCGGAACACACGCAAUACACUUAGGUUGACUUGACGAGCCUAGCAUGUACAGACAUGGCCUCGGAACACGGAGGACCGAAAGGUCGAGCAUGAGUCGUAUAGAAGAUACGAUCAACAUGGAGAUGUUCACCGAUCUUGACUAGUCCGUCUCAUGUGAUGAUCGGACACGGCCUAGUUAAGCUCGGAUCAUGUUUCAGUUAGAUGACGAGAGGGAUGUCUAUCUGAGUGGGAGUUCAUUAAAUAAUUUGAUUAGAUGAACUCAAUUAUCAUGAACUUAGUCUAAAAUCUUUACACUAUGUCUUGUAGAUCAAAUGGCCAACGUUGUCCUCAAUUUCAACGCGUUCCUAGAGAAAACCAAGCUGAAAGAUGAUGGCAGCAACUAUACGGACUGGGUCCGGAACCUGAGGCUCAUCCUUAUAGUAGCCAAGAAAGAUUAUGUCUUAGAAGCACCGCUAGGUGAUGCACCAAUCCCACAGAACCAAGACGUUAUGAACGCUUGGCAAUCACGUGCUGAUGAUUACUCCCUCGUUUAGUGCGGCAUGCUUUACAGCUUAGAACCGGGUCUCCAAAAGCGUUUUGAGAAACAUGGAGCAUAUGAGAUGUUCGAGGAGCUGAAACUGGUUUUUCAAGCUCAUGCCCGGGUCGAGAGAUAUGAUGUCUCCGACAAGUUCUUCAGCUGUAAAAUGGAGGAGAAUAGUUCUGUUAGUGAGCACAUACUCAGAAUGUCUGGGUUGCACAACCGCUUGUCUCAGCUGGGAGUUAAUCUCCCGGAUGACGCGGUCAUUGACAGAAUCCUCCAGUCGCUUCCACCAAGCUACAAGAGCUUUGUGAUGAACUACAAUAUGCAGGGGAUGGAAAAGACCAUUCCUUAAGUAUAUUCAAUGCUGAAAUCAGCGGAAGGGGAGAUCAGAAAAGAACAUCAAGUGUUGAUGGUGAAUAAAACCACCAAGUUCAAGAAGGGCAAGGGUAAGAAGAACUUCAAGAAGGACGGCAAGGGAGUUGCCGCGCCCGGUAAACCAGUUACUGGGAAGAAGUCAAAGAAUGGACCCAAACCCGGGACUGAGUGCUUUUAUUGCAAGGGAAGUGGUCACUGGAAGCGGAACUGCCCCAAAUAUUUAGCGGACAAGAAGACGGCCGGCAACACCCAAGGUAUAUGUGAUAUACAAGUAAUUGAUGUGUACCUUACCAGUACUCGUAGUAGCUCCUGGGUAUUUGAUACCGGUGCCGUUGCUCAUAUUUGUAACUCAAAGUAGGAACUACGGAAUAAACGGAGACUGGCAAAGGACGAGGUGACGAUGCGCGUCGGGAAUGGUUCCAAGGUCGAUGUGAUCGCUGUCGGCACGCUACCUCUGCAUCUACCCAUGGGAUUAGUUUUAAACCUCAAUAAUUGUUAUUUAGUGCCAGCUUUGAGCAUGAACAUUGUAUCUGGAUCUCGUUUAAUUCGAGAUGGCUACUCAUUUAAAUCCGAGAAUAAUGUUUGUUCUAUUUAUUUGAGAGAUAUGUUUUAUGGUCAUGCCCCGCUGGUCAAUGGUUUAUUUUUGAUGAAUCUCGAACGUGAUGUUACACAUGUUCAUAGUGUGAAUACCAAAAGAUGUAAAGUUGAUAACGAUAGUCCCACAUACUUGUGGCACUGCCGCCUUGGUCACAUUGGUGUCAAGCGCAUGAAGAAGCUCCAUGCUGAUGGACUUUUGGAGUCUCUUGAUUACGAAUCAUUUGACACGUGCGAACCAUGCCUCAUAGGUAAGAUGACCAAGACUCCGUUCUCCGGAACAAUGGAGCGAGCAACCAACCUAUUGGAAAUCAUACAUACUGAUGUGUGUGGUCCAAUGAGUGUUGAGGCUCGCGGAGGAUAUCGUUAUGUUCUCACUCUCACUGAUGAUUUAAGUAGAUAUGGAUAUGUCUACCUGAUGAAACACAAGUCUGAAACCUUUGAAAAGUUCAAAGAAUUUCAGAGUGAGGUUGAGAAUCAACGUGACAAGAGAUAAAAUUCCUACGAUCAGAUCGUGGUGGAGAAUAUUUAAGUCACGAGUUUGGUGCACACUUAAGGAAAUGUGGAAUAGUUUCACAACUCACGCCGCCUGGAACACCUCAGAGAAAUGGUGUGUCCGAACGUCGUAAUCGCACUCUAUUGGAUAUGGUGCGAUCUAUGAUGUCUCUUACCGAUUUACCGCUCUCAUUUUGGGGUUAUGCUUUAGAGACUGCCGCAUUCACUUUAAAUAGGGCUCCGUCGAAAUCCGUUGAGACGACACCGUAUGAAUUAUGGUUUGGGAAGAAACCUAAGCUGUCGUUUCUAAAAGUUUGGGGAUGCGAUGCUUAUGUCAAGAAACUUCAACCUGAAAAGCUCGAACCCAAAUCGGAAAAAUGCGUCUUCAUAGGAUACCCUAAGGAAACUAUUGGGUACACCUUCUACCUCAGAUCCGAAGGCAAGAUCUUCGUUGCCAAGAACGGGUCCUUUCUAGAGAAGGAGUUUCUCUCGAAAGAAUUGAGUGGGAGGAAAGUGGAACUUGAUGAGGUGAUAGUCACCCCUUCCGAGUCGGAAAAUAGCGCAGCGCGGGAAAAUGUUCCUGUGGUGCCUACACCGACGGGGGAGGAAGUUAAUGAUGAUGAUCAUGAAGCUUCGGAUCAAGUUGCCACUGAACUUCGUAGGUCCACAAGGACACGUUCCGCACCAGAGUGGUACGGCAACCCUGUCCUGGAAGUCAUGUUGUUAGACAACGGUGAACCUUCGAACUAUGAAGAAGCGAUGGCGGGCCCGGAUUCCGACAAAUGGCUAGAAGCCAUGAAAUCCGAGAUAGAAUCCAUGUAUGAAAACAAAGUAUGGACUUUGACUGACUUGCCCGAUGAGCGGCGAGCCAUAGAAAACAAAUGGAUCUUUAAGAAGAAGACGGACGCAGAUGGUAAUGUGACCAUCUACAAAGCUCGACUUGUCGCUAAGGGUUAUCGACAAGUUCAAGGGGUUGACUACGAUGAGACUUUCUCACCCGUAGCGAAGCUGAAGUCCGUCCGAAUCAUGUUAGCAAUUGCCGCAUACUAUGAUUAUGAGAUAUGGCAGAUGGACGUCAAAACGGCAUUCCUUAACGGCUUCCUUAAGGAAGAGUUGUAUAUGAUGCAGCCGGAAGGUUUUGUUGAUCCUAAGAAUGCUAACAAAGUAUGCAAGCUCCAGCGCUCAAUCUAUGGGCUGGUGCAAGCAUCUCGGAGUUGGAACAUUCGCUUUGAUGAGAUGAUCAAAGCGUUUGGGUUUACACAGACUUAUGGAGAAGCCUGUGUUUACAAGAAAGUGAGUGGGAGCUCUGUAGCAUUUCUCAUAUUAUAUGUGGAUGACAUACUAUUGAUGGGAAAUGAUAUAGAAUUCUUGGAAAGUAUAAAGGCCUAUUUGAAUAAGUGUUUUUCAAUGAAGGACCUUGGAGAAGCUGCUUAUAUAUUAGGCAUCAAAAUCUAUAGAGAUAGAUCAAGACGCCUCAUUGGUCUUUCACAGAGUACAUACCUUGACAAGAUAUUGAAGAAGUUCAGUAUGGAUCAGUCCAAGAAGGGGUUCUUGCCUGUAUUGCAAGGUGUGCAAUUGAGCACGGCUCAAUGCCCGACCACGGCAGAAAAUAUAGAAGAGAUGAGUGUCAUCCCCUAUGCCUCGGCCAUAGGGUCUAUUAUGUAUGCCAUGCUGUGUACCAGACCUGAUGUAAACCUUGCUGUAAGUUUGGUAGGAAGGUACCAAAGUAAUCCCGGCAAGGAACACUGGACAGCGGUCAAGAAUAUCCUGAAGUACCUGAAGAGGACUAAGGACAUGUUUCUCAUUUAUGGAGGUGACGAAGAGCUCGUCGUAAAGGGUUACGUCGACGCUAGCUUCGACACAGAUCUGGAUGACUCGAAGUCACAGACCGGAUACGUGUAUAUUUUGAAUGGAGGAGCAGUAAGCUGGUGCGGUUGCAAGCAAAGCGUCGUGGCGGGAUCUACAUGUGAAGCGGAGUACAUGGCAGCCUCGGAGGCAGCACAGGAAGCAGUCUGGAUGAAGGAGUUCAUUACCGACCUAGGGGUGAUUCCCAAUGCGUCGGGCCCAAUGACUCUCUUCUGUGACAACACUGGAGCUAUUGCCCUUGCGAAGGAGCCCAGGUUUCACAGGAAGACCAGGCAUAUCAAGCGUCGCUUCAACUCCAUUUGUGAAAGUGUUCAAAAAUGGAGACAUAGAUAUUUGUAAAGUACAUACGGACCUGAAUGUAGCAGAUCCGUUGACUAAACCUCUCCCUAGGGCAAAACAUGAUCAACACCAGGACGCAAUGGGUGUUCGAUUCAUCACAAUGUAACUAGAUUAUUGACUCUAGUGCAAGUGGGAGACUGUUGGAAAUAUGCCCUAGAGGCAAUAAUAAAAGGUUAUUAUUAUAUUUCUUUGUUCAUGAUAAUCGUCUAUUAUUCAUGCUAUAAUUGUAUUGUCCGGAAAUCGUAAUACAUGUGUGAAUACAUAGACCACAACGUGUCCCUAGUAAGCCUCUAGUUGACUAGCUCGUUGAUCAACAGAUAGUCAUGGUUUCCUGACUAUGGACAUUGGAUGUCAUUGAUAACGGGAUCACAUCAUUAGGAGAAUGAUGUGAUGGACAAGACCCAAUCCUAAGCAUAGCAUAAAAGAUCGUGUAAUUUCGUUUGCUAGAGCUUUUUCAAUGUCAAGUAUCUUUUCCUUAGACCAUGAGAUCGUGCAACUCCCGGAUACCGUAGGAGUGCUUUGGGUGUGCCAAACGUCACAACGUAACUGGGUGACUAUAAAGGUGCAUUACGGGUAUCUCCGAAAGUGUCUGUUGGGUUGGCACGGAUCGAGACUGGGAUUUGUCACUCCGUGUGACGGAGAGGUAUCUCUGGGCCCACUCGGUAAUGCAUCAUCAUAAUGAGCUCAAUGUGACUAAGGCGUUAGUCACGGGAUCAUGCAUUGCGGUACGAGUAAAGAGACUUGCCGGUAAUGAGAUUGAACAAGGUAUUGGGAUACCGACGAUCGAAUCUCGGGCAAGUAACAUACCGAUUGACAAAGGGAAUUGCAUACGGAUUGAUUGAAUCCUCGACACCGUGGUUCAUCCGAUGAGAUCAUCGUGGAACAUGUGGGAGCCAACAUGGGUAUCCAGAUCCCGCUGUUGGUUAUUGACCGGAGAGGCGUCUCGGUCAUGUCUGCAUGUCUCCCGAACCCGUAGGGUCUACACACUUAAGGUCCGGUGACGCUAGGGUUGUAGAGAUAUAUGUAUGCGGAAACCCAAAAGUUGUUCGGAGUCCCGGAUGAGAUCCCGGACGUCACGAGAGGUUCCGGAUUGGUCCGGAGGUGAAGAAUUAUAUAUAGGAAGUCAAGUUUCGGCCACCGGGAAAGUUUCGGGGGUUACCGGUAUUGUACCGGGACCACCGGAAGGGUCCCGGGGGUCCACCGGGUGGGGCCACCUGUCCCGGAGAGCCCCGUGGGCUGAAAGUGGAAGGGAACCAGCCCUUAGUGGGCUGGGGCACCCCACUUGGGCCUCCCCCCAUGCGCCUAGGGUUGGGAACCCUAGGGGGGAGCUUCCCCCUUGCCUUGGGGGGCAAGGCACCCCUUUCCACCCCUUGGCCGCCGCCCCCCAACCCUAGAUGGGUUUUGGCCGGCCCCCCCUCCCCCAGGGGCCUAUAUAAAGGGGGAGGGAGGGCAGCAACCUACAGCCUUGGGCGCCUCCCUCCUCCCCUGUUACACCUCUCCGUCUCUCGCAGAAGCUCGGCGAAGCCCUGCCGGAGACCCGCUACAUCCACCACCACGCCGUCGUGCUGCUGGAUCUCCAUCAACCUCUCCUUUCCCCUUGCUGGAUCAAGAAGGAGGAGACGUCACUGCACCGUACGUGUGUUGAACGCGGAGGUGCCGUCCGUUCGGCACUCGGUCAUCGGUGAUUUGGAUCACGGCGAGUACGACUCCGUCAUCCACGUUCAUUGGAACGCUUCCGCUCGCGAUCUACAAGGGUAUGUAGAUGCACUCCUUUCCCCUCGUUGCUAGUAGACUCCAUAGAUGCAUCUUGGUGAGCGUAGGAAAAUUUUAAAUUAUGCUACGAUUCCCAACAGUGGUAUCAGAGCCAGGUCUAUGCGUAGUUACUAUGCACGAGUAGAACACAAAGUAGUUGUGGGNNNNNNNNNNGGGGGGAGGGAGGGCAGCAACCUACAGCCUUGGGCGCCUCCCUCCUCCCCUGCAACACCUCUCUCUCUCUCGCAGAAGCUCGGCGAAGCCCUGCCGGAGAGCCGCUACAUCCACCACCACGCCGUCGUGCUGUUGGAUCUCCAUCAACCUCUCCUUCCCCCUUGCUGGAUCAAGAAGGAGGAGACGUCGCUGCACCGUACGUGUGUUGAACGCGGAGGUGCCGUCCGUUCGGCACUCGGUCAUCGGUGAUUUGGAUCACGGCGAGUACGACUCCGUCAUCCACGUUCAUUGGAACGCUUCCGCUCGCGAUCUACAAGGGUAUGUAGAUGCACUCCUUUCCCCUCGUUGCUAGUAGACUCCAUAGAUGCAUCUUGGUGAGCGUAGGAAAAUUUUGAAAUUAUGCUACGAUUCCCAACAUCCCCUAUGAAGAAAAUUUGGGUUCCCAAAAGGUGCCUUGAAAGUCUUCAGGUGAAUGUCCUCAUGACACCACCUGUGAGGAAUAGGAACCCCAGAUCAAAUUCUUCAUAUGGACCAAAUUCUUCAUAUGGAUCCAAGUCCUCAUACGGACCAAAUUCCUCACGUGGAUCAAAUUCCUCAAAAGGAUCAAAGUCCUCAUAUGAACAUCAUUGUGCUAACAACUCUGUUUCGCAGGGAAGAGCCAAGGGCUAUGAAUAUGAGCAUUAUUCUUCUAAUCAUUAUGCUCAUAAGUCCUCGAAGAAUUUCUCUGCUUAUUCAUAUGCUUACCCUAACUCCUCUUAUGUGAAACGAAAUGGAUUGGCUUCUAUGCCACCCUUCUCUUAUGGAGCUCGCAGAGUGAUGAACUCUUUCUCACCCCUUCAGAUGUGGGUGGUGAAGAAAAAACUAAUCUCUUCUGCAGGGUCAGGUCUCCAGACGUACUUGAACGUCUGAAGAAUUUGCUGGAGACCUGAAGUAUGCCUGAAAGGACGCAGGCUAAUCGUGAAGAAAUGAACUUUCAUUUCUCACGUCCUCAUACUGCUUUAUCUGUUCUAUUGCUUGAUGAAAUUGGUCUGAUGAAUUGACGUCAUAUUCUUCACUGAUGAAGUAUAUGAGUUCGUAAGCUGCACUAAUUCAUCUGCAGGAUGAUCAACCCAAAGCCACUGAGUGGGUCCUCGAUAGUGGAUGUACAAAUCACAUGACUGGUGACAAGAAUCUAUUGAUUGAUGCUCCCUUAUCACCAUCGCAUCUGAAGCAUAUCAUCUUCGCUGACAAAGGCAAAAGUCAGUCUUCGAAGGCUUUAGGAGAGGAGACUUGUAUAUUGUUGAUUUCUCUACAGGACCGCAACCAGCCCUGUGCCUACUUGCAAAAGCUUCAGAAGGAUGGCUAUGGCAUCGACGACUUGGUCAUGCAGGCAUGAGGAAUUUGCACACGCUUGCGAAGAAGAAGCAUGUCAUUGGCAUUGAGAAUGUCAAAUUCCUCAAGGAUCACCUAUGUGGAGCUUGUGAAGCUGGAAAGAUGACCAAGGCUAAGCAUCCAGCGAAGACUAUCAUGACCACUACUCGACCAUUCGAAUUGCUUCACAUGGACCUCUUUGGUCCUAACCAUUACUCAGCUGUCACAAAUGACGCAUCUCUCUAUGGGCUUCUUAUUGUUGAUGAUUACUCUCGUUACACAUGGGUACACAUUGUUACUUACAAACAUGAAGUGCAGGAAGUCUUCAAACGAUUUUCCUCGAGGGCUUCAACCAACUUUGGUGUGAAGAUCAAGCACAUCAGAAGUGACAAUGGAACUGAGUUCAAGAAUUCUGGUCUUGAUGAACUUGGUAUUAGUCAUGACUUAUCUGCUCCUUACACUCCUCAGCAAAAUGGCGUCGUGGAGCGCAAGAACAGAACUCUUGUUGAGAUGGCUCGCACUAUGCUUGAUGAGUACAAGACGCCUCGUCACUUCUGGAUUGAGGCAAUUUAUACCGCGUGCCACAUCAUCAACAGGGUAUAUCUUCACAAUUUCUUCAAGAAGACUGCCUAUGAACUCCUCACUGACAAAAAACCCAAUGUGAGUUAUUUCAAAGUCUUCGGUGCUAAAUGUUGGAUUAGAGAUCCUCAUCACAAUGCUAAAUUUGCACCGAAAGCACAUGAAGGUUUUAUGCUUGGUUACGGAAAGGACUCGCACACCUACAGAGUCUUCAACACCGUUCUUCACAAGGUUGUUGAAACUGUAGAUGUGCGGUUAGAUGAAACUAAUGGCUCGCAAAGAGAGCACCUACCCUCUGUGAUAGAUGAACCAGCACCUGAGGAAACUAUCAAGUUCAAGGCUACUGAGGAUGUCAUUCCUACCAAAGAAUCUGCUGAAGAAUUCAUUCCAGAACGUGAAGAACGUCGAGCUAAUGCACCUGAAGAAAUUGCUGAAGAAAAUGGUGCUGAAGAAAAUGCUGAUCAAAUUUCUCGACGACAACCUACUCAUCCUCGCGUUGCAAAAGAAGUGCAAGUUGAGAAGAUCAUCGAUGACAUUGAAGCACCAGGUCCUCUCACACGCUCAAAAGCUUCACAUUUAUCUAACUUUUGUGGGCACUAUGCUUUUGUCUCUAUCUCAGAGCCCACUAAGGUAGAUGAAGCAUUUCUGGAGCCUGAGUGGAUUCAGGUCAUGCAAGAAGAAUUACAUCAGUUCAAGCUCAACAACGUUUGGGAACUGGUCAAUCGUCCAGAUCCUCGCAAACACAAUAUCAUUGGCACAAAGUGGAUCUACCGCAACAAGCAAGAUGAAAAUGGCCUUGUGGUGAGGAAUAAGGCACGGCUAGUAGCUCAAGGCUACACACAGGCUGAAGGAAUUGAUUUCGAUGAAACUUUUGCACCUGUUGCUAGACUUGAAGCUAUUCGCAUAUUACUUGCUUAUGCUAACCAUCAUGAUAUCACCUUAUAUCAAAUGGAUGUGAAAAGUGCAUUCCUCAAUGGUAAGCUUGAGGAAGAAGUAUAUGUUGCUCAACCCCCAGGUUUUGAAGAUCCUAAGCAUCCUGACAAAGUCUUCAGACUAAAUAAGGCCCUCUAUGGCCUCAAGCAGGCCCCUCGGGCGUGGUAUGAUACUUUGAAGGAAUUCCUCAUGAAGAAAGGCUUCAAACCCGGUUCACCCGACCCUACUCUUUUCACUAAAUCAUAUGAUGAUGAAUUGUUUGUAUGCCAAAUAUAUGUUGAUGACAUCAUCUUUGGCUGUACUGACCAACGUUAUAGUGAUGAAUUUGCCUAUAUGAUGAGUGAAGAAUAUUAAAUGUCUAUGAUGGGAGAGUUGAAAUUCUUCUUAGGUCUUCAAAUUCGUCAACAGCGCAAUGGCAUAUUCAUAUCUCAGGAGAAAUACCUCAAGUAUGUAUUGAGGAAAUUCGGCAUGCAGGAUUGCAAAGGCGUCAAAAUUCCUAUGCCCACUAAUGGCCAUCUGUGCACUAAUGAAAAUGGUAUUGACUUCGAUCAAAAGGUAUACCGCUCCAUGAGGAGUAGAUUGUCUUAUUAGCUCACUAUAAGGACCCAUGUUCAGUUUGCUAGCUACUGCCUUUCCUUAACAAAUUCUAGUGAAUUGUGCUAUCUACUUUUACCAUGCAAUCUUUUGCUAUAGUGUAUAUGUUCUGUAUGUCGUGCAAUGUGGUGUUCAGUUAACUGCUUGAUUCAAUUCUGCAAAUGUGAUGUUCAAUUCUUCAGGGUGCAAUAUUUCCAAGUUGUUAAGCAUGCUUGGUUUGGUUAACUGUCUGAUCUUCUAUUACGAGUAUGUUAUAUUGUGCAAUGUCGUUCUCAGUUAGCGUUUGGUUCAUUUGUUGUGGUGUUUAGUUAACUGCUUGGUUCAAUUCUGCAAUGCGAUGUUCAAUUGUUGUGGCUGCAUUCUGGUAUUGUAUACCAUGUGAGGAAUAAAUCAAAUUUGGUUGUACUAAAUACAUGAGAAACAAAUACAAUUGCUAUAUUUCCAAGUUGUUAAGCAUGCUUGGUUUGGUUAACUGUCUGAUCUUCUAUUAGGAGUAUGUUAUAUUGUGCAAUGUGGUGCUCAAUUAACGUUUGGUUCAUUUGUUGUGGUGUUUAAUUAACUGCUUGGUUCAAUUCUGCAAUGCGAUGUUCAACUGUUGUGGCUGCAUUCUGUUAUUGUAUACCAUGGGAGGAAUAAAUCGAAUUUGGCUGCACUUAAUAAAUGAGAAACAUAUACAAGUGCUAUAUUUCCUAGUUCUUAAUCAUGCUUGGUUUGGAUAAAUGGGUUUUCCUAGUUCUUAAUCAUGCUUGGUUUGGAUAAUUGUGUUAUCCUGUGUUUACGCUUUCUGUACUCUGUGCUUGUUUUCAUUUCAUCAUGAUGACUAUGCUUGUGCUCUGCUAUGAUACUUUUGAGUACUUAUUCCGCUGCAAGUAGUUCUUCGCUAAGGAAUUUCCUCACCCACAAAUUCCUCAGUGAAGAAUUUAUCAAAAUCGCCUAUUCACCCCCCCUCUAGUCGAUAUAACGCACUUUCACUCCAUCUUUUGACAAAUCGCAGUGUUACAAGGUUGGCAAAUGGCAAUGUUACUACAUCAACAAAUGUCAAUCUUUCUAGUUUGACAAAUGGCAGCAUACCCAAUAUGACAGAUGCAAAUCGCACCAAAUUGUUUGUAAGUGGUUCACACGGGUCAUCCAAAAGAGCCGUUUGUGUUCAAGAGAUGCACAAAUCCUGCUCUCACUUUGCAUACGGGUGUUCUAUCUAAAACGUUUGCGAUCAAGAGCCAUUAAAACCUAUAGCCAUUAAAACCAAGACACGUGGCGUCACGUGAAUGGUUAACAUAACGCACAUGGUUUGAAUUAUACAAACGUUUGAGAUAUUAAAGUGGCAGCUAUUUUUUCAAAAUGCCUUUGUUGGCUGUUAUUCGAGUGCGCCUUCUCUCAAAAUGGACACGAAAAAUACCACAACAUGUGGGGUGCCAUUCCAUUAUAGCAUGCAAGUUUCAUGAAUUUCAUACGAGUUUUGGAUUUACUAGAAUUUAAAAACGAAGUAUCUCAACGUUUUGCCGGCAAUCAACGGUGCCCUGGUAUUUGAAAUUCAUUCCCAUUUCUUGCAUUGGACCUAAGCAUGCACCCAAGGACAAAGAUUUGAUUUUUUAACCAAUUUAUAUGCACUGGACCAUGUGCAUGUAGUUCAAAUUUGAAUUAUGCACAUAAAUGCAUUGAGAACUCAGUUAAUGCAUAAAAAUGUCCAAACGAACCCUAAAAAUCAUUAAAAAAUAACACAACACUCCUGUUAUUCUAUGUUGACGCGAGAAAAAAUUUGAAAGCAAUAAGAGGCAAUGGAUAUCGUUUCGUCCCCAAAGGUGGGGCGUUCCCUACUGAAACCAUCAUGCUUGUUGUGAGAAGCUCUGGUAUGUGAGAAGCAUAUACCCAAACCUGCCCCAAAUGGGACAAAAAAUUUACCACGACAUGUUGCCGGUCCAUGAUAGCAUGCCAAGUUUCAUGAAUUUCAGACGGGUUUUGGAUUUACUAGAAUUUAAAAACCAGGUAUCUCAAUGUUUGCGGCCGAGUGACGGUGGCAGGGUAUUUGACAUUCAUUCCCAUUUCUUGCAUGGGACCUAAGCAUGCACCCAAGGACAAAGAUUUGAUUUUUUAACCAAUUUAUAUGCACUGGAGCAUGUGCAUGUAGUUCAAAUUUGAAUUAUGCACAUAAAUGCAUUGAAAACUCACUUAAUGCAUAAAAAUGUCCAAACAAACCCCGAAAAAUCACAAAAAAUAACACAACACUCCUGUUGUUCUAUGUUGACACGAGAAAAAAAAUUGAAAUCAAUAAGAGGCAAUGGAUACCGUUUCGUCCCCAAAGGUGGGGCGUUCCCUACUGAAACCAUCAUGCUUGUUGUGAGAAGCUCUGGUUUGUGAGAAGCAUAUACCCAAACCUGCCCCAAAUGGGACAAAAAAUUACCACGGCAUGUUGAUGCCGCUCCAUGAUAGCAUGCCAAGUUUCAUGAAUUUCAGACGAGUUUUGGAUUUACUAGAAUUUAAAACCAUGUAUCUCAAUGUUUGCGGCCGAGUGACGGUGGCAGGGUGUUUGACAUUCAUUCUCAUUUCUUGCAUGGGACCUAAGCAUGCACCCAAGGACAAAGAUUUGAUUUUUCAACCAAUUUAUAUGCACUAGAGCAUGUGCAUGUAGUUCAAAUUUAAAUUAUGCACAUAAAUGCAUUGAAAACUCACUUAAUGCAUACAAAUGUCCAAACGAACCCCGAAUAAUUCCAAUUCUUUUAUGACACACAUAUAGUUGCAUGUUCACUGCAGAUAAAAAGGUCUAGCAAUUCAAACACCGUCCAUGGCCGCUGUGACCCCAUUAUGUAAUUCAAAUCAAGACGAAAAAUCAAGUAGAUCCCACACAGUUUAUUAUAACCAACCGUGUGAGAUGCAACACAAAAUAUCUUGGAGCACCGUCGGAGUAUAGUACGCAUACGACUUACGCGAGAAGGUGCGACGCCUACAGUCCACAGCCCGCUCUGAAUAAGGGACCGUGUCUGGUGACACUUUGCGCGCCAGUUUUUUCGUUGAAGCAAUUCCAAAUUUUCGGCUUCCGUGGAAAUAUCUUCCUCCCCGCCCCCUCCCCCUUACCAAAAGCCACAUUUCCCCUGUUUCCGCCUUCCUUUCCAAGUUGAAACCUUCACUCCUUGCUUGCAGCGCCGCCUCCUCGCCGGCGACCCUCCUUCACGCUGCUCGGCCUCGCCUAUCCAGGCAGGUAAUCCACACCCGACCCCCAUCCUCCUCCUCCUUCCACAUCCCACAUGCCCCGACCGCCGGCGCGAGCGCAACACCUUCCACCCAAAUCACCGACCCCUCCACCAAAUAAGCGCCGGCCUAAGCCAUGGUGCAUGCCAGUAUAGCCAGGAUCUCAAGGAGCAUUUGGCAGCGGAGAAGCAAAUCGCGGGCGCACGCGCGGAUGAGGUCGCGAUGGCUGCCAUUCGUGCUGACCCCCAGGUCUUGGAGGAGCACCUCGCCGUCGAGGCCACCAUUGACACCUCGCGUGCGCACGCCGUGACGCGGUUGGCUGCUUUAAACGACAGUUCGUGGCAUUUUCUCGAGGCCACCGUCAGUGCCUUCGACGAAGACUACGAGGUGUUUUCUCAGCGUGCACGUGCUUACCUCAUCUCAAGAGCCAGCAGGUUGGUGCCCGGAGCGGCUCUGGCAAAUCACCACUACAACGAGGGCACCCACAAUGCGGAGGCCUCGCCCUCUUCCAUGUACAAGGAGCCAAUCGUCAUCGAUAUCUCUGGCAAUGAGGAGUAGCUUGUCUUAUUAGCUCACUAUAAGGACCCAUGUUCAGUUUGCUAGCUACUGCCUUUCCUUAACAAAUUCUAGUGAAUUGUGCUAUCUAUUUUUACCAUGCAAUCUUUUGCUAUAGUGUAUAUGUUCUAUAUGUCAUGCAAUGUGGUGUUCAGUUAACUGCUUGAUUCAAUUCUGCAAAUGUGAUGUUCAAUUCUUCAGGGUGCAAUAUUUCCAAGUUGUUAAGCAUGCUUGGUUUGGUUAACUGUCUGAUCUUCUAUUACGAGUAUGUUAUAUUGUGCAAUGUCGUUCUCAGUUAGCGUUUGGUUCAUUUGUUGUGGUGUUUAGUUAACUGCUUGGUUCAAUUUUGCAAUGUGAUGUUCAAUUGUUGUGGCUGCAUUCUGUUAUUGUAUACCAUGUGAGGAAUAAAUCAAAUUUGGCUGUACUAAAUACAUGAGAAACAAAUACAAUUGCUAUAUUUCCAAGUUGUUAAGCAUGCUUGGUUUGGUUAACUGUCUGAUCUUCUAUUAGGAGUAUGUUAUAUUGUGCAAUGUGGUGCUCAAUUAACAUUUGGUUCAUUUGUUGUGGUGUUUAGUUAACUGUUUGGUUCAAUUCUGUAAUGCGAUGUUCAAUUGUUGUGGCUGCAUUCUGUUAUUGUAUACCAUGGGAGGAAUAAAUCGAAUUUGGCUGCACUUAAUACAUGAGAAACAUAUACAAGUGCUAUAUUUCCUAGUUCUUAAUCCUAGUUCUUAAUGUGCUUAUUUAUCAUCAACAUAUUUUAUGAUAGCAUGCGAACCCUUACGUAACCUGAUGACUAACUACCUUAUAUGUGUUGCAGGGAAACAAUGGGUGGCACUGAGGUUUACAAGAUGGUACUAACUAUUAUACCUUGCCUUUUUUAUUUCUUUGCCCCAUUUCCAAUAUAGAGAAGAUAUUUAUGCACAUCCUUGUUUUCAGGGUUCACUGAUGAUUACCUCUCAAACCACCUCUGUGGUCAGGAGGCGAUGAAAGUUUUCAUACAACACCCAUGGUUCAAUAUUGAAGUGUUCCUGAAGAGGUCGAAGGAUGGACGGUCAAACAUCCACAGGCACUGGCCUAAAGUUGCAAAGACCUUCAACAUGAAUGAAGGCUCAAUAUUCGCCUUCCGCUUCAGCAGUUUUCCAGAUGAGAUGCAUCUCUCUAUGUACCGUCUAUGAUGCUAAUUUCGAAAGGUUAUAGAUGUUGCAUGUGAAACUUGCUGCUAGUGCAGUUGUGUAAUAGGGUAGCUGAGUGCUGAAGCUAUAUCAUGUUGUACUCCGAUGUAUUUCAAUUAUGAAAUCCUGCUUCCUUAAUAUGGGAAUGGAAUAUAUUAUCUACUUAAUAUGAAUGUCAAUUAGAUUAGUAAAUGGAUUAUUAAUAAUAGGGUAAUUAGCCCGCUAAUUGGGUUUUCCUAUUGCAAACGGUUAUUGAGAAAACACCGUGGGCGAUGACCUCAGGCAAUGCACACAGUUUCUAGGAAUAAACCAUGUUGGAUCAAUGAACAAUCACACACGACAUUCUCUUGAAAACUGUUUGCGUUAUGCCACCUUGCGCAAACGUUUUCUUUGGAGUGACUGUGUGGGAUGUAUAUACGAACGGAAACGUUUAGCGGUGACUGACUGUGUGGGAUGUACUUACAACCGGAAAUGAUUUCGCCUGUAUAAUUAUAUUUUUUUAGCACUACUGUACGUAUUUCUGUAUUUGAGUGCUCGCGGGUCGCACACGAUCUCAUUUUGCCGAGCGUGUGUGCCAGGAGGGCAUAUCCCCGACGGUUUCUGGGUCCUGUGGGAAGGACCCCCUAUCGCCCACACUCACUAGGUGACGGUUCCGAACGCCGUCGUGGAAAGGGGUUAAAAUCCGUUUGUAUAGCACCGACGCAUACCAGUGAUCUGAUCAUAAACUCAAAGUUCAUCGGAUCCCAACAAACACACUGCAAAAAGAGUUACAUCAAAUACAUCUCCAAGAGACCAUUGUAUUGAGAAUCAAAAGAGAGAUAGGAAGCCAUCUUUCUACUAACUACGGACCCGUAGGUCUACAAUGAACUACUCACGCAUCAUCGAAGAGGCACCAAUGAGGAUGAUGAACCCCUCCGUGAUGGUGUCUAGAUUGGAUCUGUGGUUUCUGGAACUUGCGGCGGUUGGAAUUGAUUUUCGUCGGCUCCCGUAGGGUUUCUGGAAUAUUGGGGUAUUUAUAGAGCAAAGAGGCGGUGCGGGAGGCCACCAAGGUGGGCACAAUCCACCAGGGCGCGCCUGGGACCCCAGGCGCGCCCAGGUGGGUUGUGCCCCCCUCGGGGCGCCCCACUGGUACUUCUUUGGCCCAACGUGUGUCUUCUGGCCCAGAAAAAUUCUCCAAAAAGUUUCGCUGCGUUUGGACUCCGUUUGGUAUUGAUUUUCUGCAGGUAAAAGACAAGCAAAAAACAACAACUGGCACUGGGCACUAUGUAAAUAGGUUUGUCCUAAAAAAUGUUAUAAAGUUGCUAUAAAAUGAUUGUAAAACAUCCCAGAAUGAUAAUAUAAUAGCAUGGAACAAUAAAAAAUUAUAGAUACGUUGGAGACGUAUCACAUACCAAACAGACCAACUGGAAUCGGCGAUAAGAUGAACAAUCAAUAGGGUGGCUCAAUGACUCCAAAGACAAAGCCCUUAAGGGGGAAACAAUAUCAAAGAUAUCAUUGUCGUGCGAUCAAUGGUUUCUCUUAGUCUUUCGCCUGGUGCACAUGAGAUGAUACGAUGUAGGAGCUUCACAAUGACACCUCCAAGGACAAAAAUGGCCCCCGAAGGCAUCACCAUUAUCUAUGCCGACAAGGCAGGCACAAGACUUUGACCUAAAGCAUCACAGACCAGACAUCCCCACAUAUCUUGGUCGCUGACCAUCGUAGAUCAUAAACGAAUCCCAUGCUAUACGUAAAUGAAUCCCUAACUUCUUAUCUAAGCUUCGAUGAGCACCCUAAGUCGAUCUAAUUGACCCUGCGAUAUCGUACAAAGCUUAUAUUCCCCUUUUAGGAUGACCGCCACUCGAGAUGGCAGGCCAAGAGCUUGGCCUCGGUGGCGGGCGGAUUCUAUUGGCGACCGCCGACCAUUUGAGGCAGCGGAACUGCGUUUUGGCAGGUGUAUGGGAUCGCAAGGGGGCAAGGGCGCAUGAGCUCGAGGAGGAAGACGCGGGAGGAAGGUGAAAUGCGAGCGUAAAGGCCUCCUCACCACUUUGCUUUGCUUUGCUUUGUUUGCCAAAUAUGAGCCAGACCAGACCACCCCCCAUGGCAGGCACCCCCGUCAACCACACGGCGGGAACUACCUCGACUCGAGUAAUAGUGCGUGCAUAGUUGGAUAUUCAAUGUCAACAUCUUAUUUUCUUUUCUUUUUCACGCCGCUUUGCUACGAUACACAUAAGCAGUAACAAGGAACAACACAAGGAGAAGCAGAUAACAAGCAAUGACAAGCAGUCAACACCACUAGGUAGACCCACAAGAGUACAAGGAUAUCCAACACCAAGUAAUUGAAGAACUAGGAGAGUCACAACCACCGUCCAAGGGCUCCCCAGUACCUAGCCACAACACAACAAAGAGAGGCGCGGACCGUGCCGAAGAGCAAUGUUUUGUCGAGACAGUCAUGCACCUCCUUUGGGCUAGGCCACAUCACGUCUGCCGUCACAAUAGAGAGAACCAAUACACUAUGUGAGGCAAAAAGAAAACUCAAGGCUCGCGAUGGGCACCAAUUUUUUUGACCACCCAUCACCCACUUGAUCACCACUGUGGAGGACAUCACCAACGUCCUUGAGAGGAACAAGGAGUACCUUGACGAGGAGAUGGGCGAGUCGGCAAAUUAGUUGCCCACCAGCCACAACACCUCCCCGUCUGUGGCAGGCAACCUUGGUCCAAUCGUGCUGCAUGGUAGGCACGCCGGAUACGAGCCAGGAGGAAAGCGGCGAGAUAGUAUUCAGUGAUUAGGAGAUCAAAGUGCUUGCCAGGCGGUCUUGGACGAUCUUGAUCAUGCUGCAGCCCGGCUAAAAAUCCUAUCGUCAGUCAUAAACACGGUUUCUAAAGAAAAGAAACACUUGGAGCGAAGGGCAUCUGAGCUAGAAGAGGCCGAGGGGCUGUGGCGAACUCGCCAUCCGAUUAGAAAGAUCAUUUUGGGCAAGGGCAAGGCCGGCCUAUCGAGGAAAAGAAGAAAGAUGAGCAAAGCAAUCGAGAUGCCACAGUCACAAGCUCGGAGUCCCAUCGCACGCUGGCAGAGAAUAUGCAUUCAGCGGCAGGGGCCCUGGUUAGGAUCAACUUCUCAGAUGGACAUCCAGACAAGAAUCGGUGGGAGAAAGGGUCUCAAGGAGGGAGGCAGCUUGCCACCGCGAACCUCCGCUCCCCGCUUCAUCCGCAUCUAUAGUAAUUAUAUCAUAGUGUCCGAACAUGCAAAUGUUGAAUGGUGCACUUGACCCAACAUCACGAAGAAUAUUGAGACAAGAUGGAAUGCAGAGACGCCGUGGGAGGUGAUGACAACUUGUGUGAGGAUAAGGUGACAGAGUGCGGAACGGUCUGUAAUUUUAUUUUAUUCAGAAUUUUUGGUCUGUUAUUUGGGAAAACCGGUCAUCCUGCGCAAGGACAUUGUUGAGCAGAAUCCUGCGACGUCCGAGGAAAUUAUCCAAAUGCAUGCAUCAACAGACUUGUCACGGCGCUACUCAUGAGGAUGAUGAGGUUCAACAUUUGUGGGCGAUUCGAUUCGAAUAAGUAGAAUUCAACAAACUCGACAUGGAAUGGAAUGGAAGAGAAAGAAAACAAGCAACGCGUGUGUUUGGCGGUAAAAAGGAAGCAAGUUGAAGCAUGGCCGGCCUCUUGGUAAAUACUACUCCCUUUAUAAACUAAUAUAAGAGCGUUUAGAUCACUAUCUCUUAUAUUAGUUUACGAGAGAGUAGUACAGUGUAGACAGUAGUAGGAAAAAGAGACUCUGAAUGACAGAAGCUGUUCUGUUGGUCCCCUCCCCCCUCCCCUCAUUUCAUUUCAUUUUCACUGCAGCAUGCAUGGUACUACAGUAAAGACAGUGGUAGUGGAGGAGCCUGCUAAUUUAUUUGCCUGCCCAAGCCUUUCCGUGCACGGCACAGACGGAUAGGAUCAAUUGCGUUGCGUUGCGGUUGCGUUUGCGUUUGCGUGUCUACUGUGUACCAGUGUACGGGAAGGUGAAUUGAUGAGCCCUCUGACUUUUCUUCGUUUCCUUUCCGUGGAACAGAGCAGGAGCAGAGCAGCUGCUCCGCCUUCACUUUCUCCGAUCUCAUUUUCAUCUCAUCUCAUCCACGCCAACGGACGGACGGGCCCAUCUCUUUCCCAAUUUCGUCGUCCUCGUCGUCGUCUUCUUAUUCUUUCCGUGUCCGUCCACCAUUGCUGCUUAUUUCUUUCUUUAUUUCUUUCUUGUGAUCAAUCUACCUAUCUAUCUGCUUCUGCUUCUUCUUCUUCUUCUUCUUAACACUGAACGACAAUGUGGCUUGGGAUCUCCAUCUCCAAGCAAGGACAAGGACAAGGACAAGGAGCGGCGGCUGUAGCAGUGGUCGCCAUGCUCGGCCUCUGCACCAUAUCCAUACCCAUGUCGAUGCUGCCUCUCGCCGCACCCACCAUCCACCACGGUACAGUACAUACAUAUUCUUCCCGAUCGAUCCAUCUUCUCCUCCAUGUCGAUCGAUCCAUCUUCUUGUUAUGUGCUGUGCAUGUGCUUGGCUCAUUUUGGGAUGUGCAGAAGGAGGCGCUCAAGGCGGAGGGGGGAACCCAAACCCAGCCAACGCGCUGGUGGCGCUGGUGAACGCCGACCGGGCAGCCGCCAAGCUACCCGCCCUCCGCACCACCAAGGGCCUCGGCUGCAUGGCGCUGCAGUGCAUCGCCCGCUGCCUCGCCCUCUCCCCCGCCACCGCCUGCGCCGCCGACGGCACGCUGGCGCCGCCCUGCCACCCGCCGGAGACUGACAUCACCGAGGUCUACGCCGCCAACUGCGGGGUCGAGCUGCCCACGGUCGACGUCGUCUCCGGCCGCAUCCUCGGCUGCAGCAGCCAAAGCUCCGACGGCGUCAGCGGGGACGCGCUCCACAUGGCCAACGCCACCGUGGUGCGCGGCAGGGAGCACGCGCAGGUGGGCGCCGGCGUCGACCGCGGCGGCUUCUGGUGCCUCCUCUUCAGCAGCGGCAGCCCCAACUCCAGCUUCCAGCUGGAGGCCGCCGGCAGGGGCAUCGCCCAGCAGCACGGCUGCUUCAGCGACCCCGACGCCACCCUCUCCUGCACCACCUCCGCCGGCCACCACCAAACCAGACGACUCACCGCCGGAGUCACGUCCUUUGCCUUGGCUGCUUCCACUCUGCUUUUCCUCCUCUAGUCUAGUCUAGUAAUGAAUAAGCUAGCAGAGACACCCUAGAAGAUACUAGUAUUACUCGGACUUGUAACUUUGCUAUUCAAACAGUCUGUCAGUCAGUGAUGAGUGUGAUCAUUUUUCAAAACAUUUGGGAUUCAUCUAAAUUUGCCACUGCAAAUCCAAAAUGCAAAAAGCACAAACAAACAAAUAAGCAGCUAGUAGUAUAUUUCAGUAAGUACUAGGAUUGGAUUGAGCAGUCCAUGUUCAUCGUGUAUAUAUAGCACACUACCCAAGUUCAUCAUGAGCUGCUGCUGCAACUUAGUAAAAAUUAUGUCAAUCCUACAUAUAUUCCUUAUCAAGCCAAACUAAAUUAUACAACAAGGAGAGGCGAGGCGAGGCAAUUAUGAUCCCUUUGAUCGAAGCGAGACACUGCAAAACAAAGGGCUGCUCCUCAGCUCACUCUACCAUUUUUGAGCUAGUUUAC